Mesocricetus auratus (golden hamster) is the source of this 530-nucleotide long non-coding RNA. RefSeq lists it as uncharacterized. Lineage: Eukaryota; Metazoa; Chordata; Mammalia; Rodentia; Cricetidae. The transcript has 3 exons. The record is from RefSeq and is a predicted model, not a curated record.
GAUGAUGCAGCCUUUCAGACCACAAAAACAAGGACUUCAACAGGGUUGGUUAUUGAUACAAAUUUAAGGUCAAUUUUGUGAGUCAUCUCUAAAAACUUUUGGACAAAAGUCUGGCCUCUCCACCCUGCAUCUACAGAAUUACAAGGAGUGGGUACAGCUGUAGCUCCUGAGUGUAGCUCAUGUGUCCUUAUACCCACAGGAGGUACCUGCCAGUCACAGAUGCAACCAUGAGAAAGGAACUCACAAGGUUUUCCUGUGGAACCCAGAAAGCUUUUUCUGUAGUCCAGGUGGCUUUCAGAGCCCUUACCAGAUGUAUGUCCAGACCCAUUAAGUCUUGGCACACAUGCUCUUGGGGAAAAGCACUAAGCCUGCCUCACUCAUGAGCAAGUGUCGAAACAAAUGGAAAGUCUACAGCUGUGUGCCCAGGAAGAAUACUUAGUGGAGACAACUGGUGUCCCUGAAUGGAAUGCUUCACAAUUAUUCUUCAAACUGAAAAUUGCAGAUACUCAGAUGUAUGUAAAGAACGUGCU